UACAGAGGGGGCAAGCGUUGUUCGGAAUUACUGGGCGUAAAGGGCGCGUAGGCGGCCCGCUAAGUCGGAUGUGAAAUCCCCAGGCUUAACCUGGGAACUGCAUCCGAUACUGGAUGGCUUGAAUCCGGGAGAGGGAUGCAGAAUUCCAGGUGUAGCGGUGAAAUGCGUAGAUAUCUGGAGGAAUACCGGUGGCGAAGGCGGCAUCCUGGACCGGCAUUGACGCUGAUGAGCGAAAGCUAGGGGAGCAAACGGG
This 253-nucleotide ribosomal RNA is filed under the name uncultured bacterium. RNAcentral's name for it is "partial 16S ribosomal RNA". It matches the Rfam family "Bacterial small subunit ribosomal RNA", at positions 524 to 776 of the family's 1533-position model. The record is from RNAcentral.